This 1780-nucleotide long non-coding RNA is filed under the name Helianthus annuus (common sunflower). The record is from RNAcentral. Lineage: Eukaryota; Viridiplantae; Streptophyta; Magnoliopsida; Asterales; Asteraceae.
UCUACCCUUACCUUGACUCAAAAGAUCUCCCAACAUAUCUCCCAACUUCUGGUCGUCUUUCACCAUCACCAUAAUUGAAUGCCAUCAUUUAAGCCUCUCCAGCAGAAAGUAAAGAGACGCCCGCUUCACUUCAUCUUCCCCUAACCCCUCCAGUCCUAUAAAAUCCACCACACAUUACAUAGCCUCUUUGCUUUGCUCCUGGCGCGAACCAAUGAGCCACCACCGUCUGCCUCUGCCGGGAUUGCAGGGUUAUUUCUAAACAGGUGGGUGUAAUUUGGGAAGUAGGGUAAGGAGUAGUGUAAGGGAAUUGGCGCUAAGACACUAAAUUUGCAGUGAAACUGGCGGCUGGGGUACAUGCCAGGUUCGCAACGACGAGUUCAACCAAUCUAGCAGUUCUUCCUCCUGAUACAGGUGAAUCAUGAAGAGGGACGAGGAAAUAGGAGAAGGCAUAAACUUUUAUCUUUAUGAACAUGUUAAUGCCGUAAAUUAUUUCUUUUUUUUAUUUUCAAGACGAGUAUCAUCUUUACAUUAGAAGAAGCUCUUGGAGUGUUCGCUCUAAUAUCAAAGAUCAUGAGCCGACCCCAAAGGAAACGUUUGCGCAUGAUUGUUGAUGAUAGCAACAAGGGCAGCUCUAAUAAGUGAGUGCAAUUAUGUUUCAAUAACUUUCUCUGCUUUCCGUUGUUUAAGAGAUUCUUUUAUGUGAAGUGAAUUUUAAGAAUGUUCACAAUGAUCGCCGGGCUGUACUCUAUCUGAAUGAUUGUGAUUGUGGGGAGGAACUUUGUCGUGAGAAGGCGACAAUUAAGGAAAAAAUUAUGUGCACAAAGUCAGCAUCAAGGACAUGGUUGUGGAAUUUGAUAAGAGUAAAAAAUGAAUAGAUAAAAAAUGCUUGUUAGGUCGUCCCAUCCAAGUUAUUUAGAUAACACCAUUUUAAGAAUUUGGGAAGUGCUUUUCAAAGGAUACAUAUAUCAAGGGAGAUAGCCAGUUCACUGUAGUCCCUCAUCCCGCACUGCUCUUCCAGAUGCUGAGUUAGAGGUGUUAAAGCUUCCAGCAUGUUUUCAAUUUUGAAACUAUUAAAUACUCCAACUAAGGAUGCAUUACUAGAUGAAUUUCUUCCCAAAAUUGUCCCUUGCAAAUUGGACCACCACUCCCUGGAUGAUCCAUGCAAAUGCUGAGCACAAGUAUCCGUAUGAUUGGCGAACAAAGAAACCUGCAAGUAUCUUGGAUAAGUUUUUUAGCAUGCUCAUCUUCGAAGAAGAUGCUGGGUGAGCUUCAUCAUAAACAGUCUUGUGUUGAUCCUUGGAUAUGCAUAUCCAGCUUUUGAGUGUUUUAAAACCAUUGAGAAGCAUAGUGAAGAAAUGCAGAAUUCAGAUUUUGGUGUCAAUAUUGGUUACCGAUGUAUGGAGAGAUGAAGCUAGCGCUCAUCAUCUACUUAUGGUAUCCUAAAACUAAGGGAAUAGGAUAUGUAUAUAAUGCCAUGUUGAGACCGUUUGUAGCAAGACAUGAGCCCGAUAUAGAAAGGAAGUUUAAGGGAAAUGAGGGCGAAAGCGUGGGAUGUGGCGAUUAAUCAAUUUUGAAGAGAAAUUGAGGAUAUGCAUACACAUACAUGAUCAUAAUAUGAAAAUCUAAAUGAUUAACAUAUUAUUUUUUCCAUUGCAUUAUGGGUGAUAAAUUUUUAAUCCGCUAAAAUUCUACUCUUUUGAAAUUGCAUAAAGAUGUACGAUUGCUUGAUGUGUAUCGUGUUCCUGUCAAAUCUAAAUGAUUAACAUAUUAUUUUUUCCAU